UACGGGGGGGGCAAGCGUUGUUCGGAAUUACUGGGCGUAAAGGGCUCGUAGGCGGCCGACUAAGUCGGACGUGAAAUCCCUCAGCUUAACUGGGGAACUGCGUCCGAUACUGGAUGGCUUGAGUUUGGGAGAGGGAUGCGGAAUUCCAGGUGUAGCGGUGAAAUGCGUAGAUAUCUGGAGGAACACCGGUGGCGAAGGCGGCAUCCUGGACCAACACUGACACUGAGGAGCGAAAGCCAGGGGAGCAAACGGG
This 253-nucleotide ribosomal RNA is filed under the name uncultured bacterium. RNAcentral's name for it is "partial 16S ribosomal RNA". It matches the Rfam family "Bacterial small subunit ribosomal RNA", at positions 524 to 776 of the family's 1533-position model. The record is from RNAcentral.